This 321-nucleotide ribosomal RNA is filed under the name uncultured eukaryote. RNAcentral's name for it is "partial 18S ribosomal RNA". It matches the Rfam family "Eukaryotic small subunit ribosomal RNA", at positions 1470 to 1796 of the family's 1831-position model. The record is from RNAcentral.
CCCUUAGAUGCUCUGGGCCGCACGCGCGCUACACUGAUGAACGCAACGAGACGACCUGUACCGAAAGGCAUGGGUAAACUUGUGAAAGUUCAUCGUGAUGGGGAUAGAUUAUUGCAAUUAUUAAUCUUCAACGAGGAAUUCCUAGUAAGCGCGAGUCAUCAGCUCGCGUUGAUUACGUCCCUGCCCUUUGUACACACCGCCCGUCGCUCCUACCGAUUGAAUGGUCCGGUGAAAUCUUCGGAUUGCUGGAUAGGAGGGCAACCACCUAUCUGCGAGAAGUUGCUUGAACCUUAUCAUUUAGAGGAAGGAGAAGUCGUAACA